RNAcentral lists this ribosomal RNA (510 nucleotides) under Luteimonas sp. RNAcentral describes it as "bacterial SSU rRNA". It matches the Rfam family "Bacterial small subunit ribosomal RNA", at positions 67 to 568 of the family's 1533-position model. Lineage: Bacteria; Pseudomonadati; Pseudomonadota; Gammaproteobacteria; Lysobacterales; Lysobacteraceae. The record is from RNAcentral.
CGACAACAGGGGUACUUGCUCCCUGGGUGGCGAGUGGCGGACGGGUGAGGAAUGCAUCGGAAUCUGCCUAUACGUGGGGGAUAACCUCGGGAAACCGGGACUAAUACCGCAUACGACCUACGGGUGAAAGCAGGGGACCUUCGGGCCUUGCGCGGAUAGAUGAGCCGAUGUCGGAUUAGCUAGUUGGCGGGGUAAAGGCCCACCAAGGCGACGAUCCGUAGCUGGUCUGAGAGGAUGAUCAGCCACACUGGAACUGAGACACGGUCCAGACUCCUACGGGAGGCAGCAGUGGGGAAUAUUGGACAAUGGGCGCAAGCCUGAUCCAGCCAUGCCGCGUGGGUGAAGAAGGCCUUCGGGUUGUAAAGCCCUUUUGUUGGGAAAGAAAAGCAGUCGAUUAAUACCCGAUUGUUCUGACGGUACCCAAAGAAUAAGCACCGGCUAACUUCGUGCCACCAGCCGCGGUAAUACAAAAGGUGCACGCGUUACUCGGAAUUACUGGGCGUAAAACCG